Molecule: transfer RNA, 74 nt
Filed under: Puccinia triticina
Lineage: Eukaryota; Fungi; Basidiomycota; Pucciniomycetes; Pucciniales; Pucciniaceae
Also listed under: 1 other name
Description: tRNA-His
Rfam family: tRNA
About the family: Transfer RNA (tRNA) molecules are approximately 80 nucleotides in length.
Source: RNAcentral
GCGCACUUAGCUUUGUUGGUAAAAAGCAUCACUCGUGAAGUUUGAGGACAUGGGUUCAAAUCCCAUAGUGCACA